RNAcentral lists this transfer RNA (103 nucleotides) under Kwoniella bestiolae CBS 10118. Its description in RNAcentral is "tRNA-Ser". It matches the Rfam family "tRNA". From Rfam's summary of the family: Transfer RNA (tRNA) molecules are approximately 80 nucleotides in length. The record is from RNAcentral. Lineage: Eukaryota; Fungi; Basidiomycota; Tremellomycetes; Tremellales; Cryptococcaceae.
GGAGUUUUGCGAUAGUGGUUAUUCGGUGAGACUUGAAUUGAAAACUUAACACUUUCGUGAUCUCAUGCCGUCAGGCUCGUAGGUUCGAACCCUACAGACUUCG